AUCCUUUUAUGGCUCAUAAACGUGAUGACUGGGUUUUCACACACAUGUGAGAUGUGCCUCCCGUAAACCUUAAGACAUCAGCACGUUAUCUAUCUAACA
Molecule: small nucleolar RNA, 99 nt
Organism: Saimiri boliviensis boliviensis (Bolivian squirrel monkey)
Lineage: Eukaryota; Metazoa; Chordata; Mammalia; Primates; Cebidae
Product: small nucleolar RNA U13
Source: RefSeq, a predicted model, not a curated record